UGUUAUUUUGGCUCUUGGCACUCAUGCCAUGAAACGGCUGACGCUGGUGUCUAUGUAUUGCUGAUGCAGUUGUGACAAACGUCCGUGGCUGUAGAUGAGGUGAUACGGUAGGACUUUACACACAUUGUGAAGUUUAAGACUUAAUGAGCCCUCCGGGGACGCCAGCACCUCUUUUUUCUAUUACAAUUUUUUAAAAAACGAGAAAUAUUCUAGUCUCAUCGGUGGAUCACUCGGCUCGUGGAUCGAUGAAGAACGCAGCUAGCUGCGAUAUCUGGUGUGAACCGCAGAAACAUUGAACAUUUAAUCUUUGAAUGCGAAUUGCGCUAAUGAAGUCAAAUUCGUUGGCACGUCUGGUUCAGGGUCAUUUCCAACAAUUGCAUUGCAAUUUAUUGAACCUUUCAUUUAUGGCAGUGAGAGAAACUAGCAGUUGUAUUAACGAAUGUGUGUUACAAAGUUGGCGGAAAUAGGAAAUUCCAAUGCCUCUUCAUCAACAAGAUAUACAAUUUUGACCUGAAC
Molecule: ribosomal RNA, 516 nt
Filed under: Meloidogyne daklakensis
Lineage: Eukaryota; Metazoa; Nematoda; Chromadorea; Rhabditida; Meloidogynidae
Description: eukaryotic LSU rRNA
Rfam family: 5.8S ribosomal RNA (bases 211-364)
Source: RNAcentral